RNAcentral lists this ribosomal RNA (796 nucleotides) under Pectobacterium brasiliense ICMP 19477. RNAcentral describes it as "bacterial LSU rRNA". It matches the Rfam family "Bacterial large subunit ribosomal RNA", at positions 2143 to 2925 of the family's 2925-position model. The record is from RNAcentral. Lineage: Bacteria; Pseudomonadati; Pseudomonadota; Gammaproteobacteria; Enterobacterales; Pectobacteriaceae.
AUAGGUGGGAGGCUUUGAAGUGUGGACGCCAGUCUGCAUGGAGCCAACCUUGAAAUACCACCCUUUAAUGUUUGAUGUUCUAACGUGGACCCGUGAUCCGGGUUGCGGACAGUGUCUGGUGGGUAGUUUGACUGGGGCGGUCUCCUCCCAAAGCGUAACGGAGGAGCACGAAGGUUAGCUAAUCCUGGUCGGACAUCAGGAGGUUAGUGCAAAGGCAUAAGCUAGCUUGACUGCGAGAGUGACAGCUCGAGCAGGUGCGAAAGCAGGUCUUAGUGAUCCGGUGGUUCUGAAUGGAAGGGCCAUCGCUCAACGGAUAAAAGGUACUCCGGGGAUAACAGGCUGAUACCGCCCAAGAGUUCAUAUCGACGGCGGUGUUUGGCACCUCGAUGUCGGCUCAUCACAUCCUGGGGCUGAAGUAGGUCCCAAGGGUAUGGCUGUUCGCCAUUUAAAGUGGUACGCGAGCUGGGUUUAGAACGUCGUGAGACAGUUCGGUCCCUAUCUGCCGUGGGCGUUGGAAGAUUGAGAGGGGUUGCUCCUAGUACGAGAGGACCGGAGUGAACGCACCACUGGUGUACGGGUUGUGAUGCCAAUUGCAUUGCCCGGUAGCUAAGUGCGGAAGAGAUAACCGCUGAAAGCAUCUAAGCGGGAAACUUGCCUCGAGAUGAGUCUUCCCUGGGCACUUGAUGCCCCUGAAGGGCCGUUGAAGACGACGACGUAGAUAGGCUGGGUGUGUAAGCGUAGCGAUACGUUGAGCUAACCAGUACUAAUGACCCGAGAGGCUUAACCUUACAACACC